CAUAUACACAAAACCAAUGAGCUAUAUUUAUGAUGGUGUCCACUAUACUCGCGGUUCAUGUAAAUCUGCAAGAAUGUUGCAAAUGUUCCCACCUGCUUGAAGCUUCAGGAUAAAUUGGAUUCAUGAAGUUCCAGCCUCUGGGAUGGAUGUAACCCAGUUUUGAGAUUUCUGCUGAAAAAAUUGAUCAGGAAGCUUAAAUAGCAGAAGAAACAUUAACUAUUGGGCAUAAAUCAACACAGCAGGAACAGACAAAUUAGGAAUUUGGUUACUUCAGCCUGCUCUGCUGUUUAACAAGGCCAUGACUGAUCUUAUUGUAAGUUCAACAAAUUCCUGCCUGCCGCACAACAAUCUUUCCUCUAUUAUCAACACUCUUAUCCACCACUGCUCCUUUGAGGAUACUCAACCCUCAGUGCUGGUUGUAUUGCAUUUAAUCAUCAAUGGAAGACUGCAGUAGAAAGAGAAAAUAUAAAUAGAAAUUCAGUCUUUCCAAACCUGGCAAAAGCAUUGAACUUGAGUGGAUC
This is a long non-coding RNA of Hypanus sabinus (Atlantic stingray), 521 nucleotides long. RefSeq lists it as uncharacterized. NCBI's taxonomy places the organism in Eukaryota, Metazoa, Chordata, Chondrichthyes, Myliobatiformes, Dasyatidae. The transcript is spliced from 3 exons. The record is from RefSeq and is a predicted model, not a curated record.